Lepisosteus oculatus (spotted gar) is the source of this 1298-nucleotide non-coding RNA. The record is from RefSeq and is a predicted model, not a curated record. NCBI's taxonomy places the organism in Eukaryota, Metazoa, Chordata, Actinopteri, Semionotiformes, Lepisosteidae.
CUAGCCUGCGUGAUUAAGCUAAUACAUCCGCCUACUGUGCCAAACAACUUCCUGUUACAGUUUCAUAGUUGAUCUUAUGAAAAAGUGCUUUAAAUUUUUAUCAAUUAGUAUGAUGUAAUAAUCUGCAUCACUGAAGCCACUCAUAGUUAUGGUGUCUUUUAAAUCACAGGCAGGAGGACUUAAGUGAAGACAGGUCCUGACUGGUGGACUACAGUACGUGCUGACAGGAAGUACAGUACUGUAUAUGCAGAUUUCCCCAGUGUGCUGUGCCUUGGAAAAUAAGGAUAACAACAGCAGAUGAACAGUAAAGGAUGAAGCAGGAUGCCUCAGGAAGAGUGAGAUAACAUUGGUAGUUCCAUGUUGAAACUGCAAAGGACCAUCAGCCCAGAGCUAAUCACGAUUUUCAUGACAUUAAGCAAAUAGAGAGCACAUGACUCCAGCCCCCAGUGGACAGAAAGCCAGUUCACCAGAGAGCAGCUGGGUGGCCUGGAGCAAUCAGGUUAAAGUACCCUGCAAAAAGUACGCCUCAGGGACUUUAACCCACCAGUCCAGAAACUGACCCACUACAGUAUGUUACACUGUCUUCCAAGAAAAGUAACCUGGCUAAUAUAUGGAAUUAGUUAAAGUCAUAUUUCACAAAGGUGUUUAUCAAGGAAGAAAUUGACAACACAUCUCUAGCUGAGCCAAGAUAAAGCUUAGCAACAUUAAAUAGCUUUAGCAUAGUAUAGAGUUUUUCUGAUUACACAUUGUACACUAUGCUCUUUAUUUUCUCUCUGAUUCACUGUUGAGAGCUAAGGAGGUUUGCUAGCCACAAUUGUUUCAGACACAAUAGUGACUUUCGUGAUAAGACAUGUUUCAUAAAUUGACUGAUUUUGCUUAAAAUUAUUAUUUGCAUAUAGAAACUGCAUUAUAUCAGCUACAGAACCUUCAAAACAAUGUAAGAGGUACAUUAAGGUACUCAUGCAAAAUGUCUCGAGAUAUUUUACUGAAAAAAAUCCAGUGCAAAACAUUGUCACUACUGUACACAUUAUUUGAAGAAAUACAAUAGUAGUUGACACCUUUAACCAAAAUACAGCAACAAAUGUUUUACUCUUGGUGUGUCUUGGUUCAAUUCAAGUAUCUGGCUAUAGAUCUAACACUGUAACACAGUUUGAAUAUAAAAGUGUGCAACCAUCUUCUGAAUGCACUCUUUCCACUGCAUAUUGAUCACACAAAUAGGCAGAUUCUGGGCUACUGCUGUCAGAUAUGUAUUUAAAUGUACAAAUGUAUUUUAAAUCAGAAUGUGGAUUAAAAGUGUU